Molecule: long non-coding RNA, 724 nt
Organism: Helianthus annuus (common sunflower)
Lineage: Eukaryota; Viridiplantae; Streptophyta; Magnoliopsida; Asterales; Asteraceae
Exons: 4
Source: RefSeq, a predicted model, not a curated record
UUUUCAAACCCUAAAACUCCAGCCGUACAGAGAUUGAAGAGUAGCAGAUGGAGGUUGGUUCUGGGUGGAGAUGGCAGAGGAAGCGGUAUCUUUUGUGGGUAGUUCCUGAUUGGUGACCCUAAAACCGGUGAUACACUUUAUUUGUAAAGCAAGACCAUGGGUUGGGUGGCAAACACGGUAGCUCGAAGAAGAAGGCCGGGGAGGGUUCGAAAACUAAAAAAGAUGUUAGCUACUACCUUGUGGACUCUCGAACAUGGAAAACAUUCCGACGAAGUUUGUAGACAAGCAAAAACUUGAAAUCGAGAACCAACAACACAACUGAUUUAGGGUUACAAGUCUUCAUUCAAAUAGGAUGGGGUCAUCAGAAACUGCUAUUGCUGUCCACUGGCGCACAUGAAAGAUACUUAUAAGAUACUUACAAAUUGCUGAUGAUGACGAUAAGCUACAUAUACGUUACGUAGCGAUAGUGUUAAAAUAGCGGGCGCUAUUUCAUGUUUAGCGAUACACUAGAAGAAAAUUUUAGAAAUAUUUUACAUGUAUAUUUUACCAACAAAUUAAAAUUUUUUUUACAAAAAUCCGCUAAUUGUCGCUACCAACUAUAUAACGACACGUGAGCGAUUCGCUUCGCUACGCUAUUCGCUAUAGCGGGCACCAUAGUUGUUAACGGUGAAUAGCGACAAAUAACGAUAAGGUACCUAUAUGUUAGAUAGCGAAUAACAAUAAA